UACAGAGGUCUCAAGCGUUGUUCGGAUUCAUUGGGCGUAAAGGGUGCGUAGGUGGCGGGGUAAGUCUGGUGUGAAAUCCUGGGGCUCAACCCCGGAACUGCACUGGAUACUGCUUUGCUAGAGUACUGGAGAGGGAACUGGAAUUUACGGUGUAGGAGUGAAAUGCGUAGAUAUCGUAAGGAAGACCAGUGGCGAAGGCGAGUUCCUGGACAGUUACUGACACUGAGGCACGAAGGCCAGGGGAGCAAACGGG
This 253-nucleotide ribosomal RNA is filed under the name uncultured bacterium. RNAcentral's name for it is "partial 16S ribosomal RNA". It matches the Rfam family "Bacterial small subunit ribosomal RNA", at positions 524 to 776 of the family's 1533-position model. The record is from RNAcentral.